This 305-nucleotide ribosomal RNA is filed under the name uncultured bacterium. RNAcentral's name for it is "bacterial SSU rRNA". It matches the Rfam family "Bacterial small subunit ribosomal RNA", at positions 337 to 640 of the family's 1533-position model. The record is from RNAcentral.
CCCUACGGGGGGCAGCAGUGAGGAAUAUUGGUCAAUGGUCGGGAGACUGAACCAGCCAAGCCGCGUGAGGGAUGAAGGUACAGAGUAUCGUAAACCUCUUUUGUCAGGGAACAAAGGCGGGGACGUGUCCCCGGAUUAGUGUACCUGAAGAAAAAGCAUCGGCUAACUCCGUGCCAGCAGCCGCGGUAAUACGGAGGAUGCGAGCGUUAUCCGGAUUUAUUGGGUUUAAAGGGGGCGCAGGCGGUCUGUUAAGUCAGCGGUCAAAGCCCGGGGCUCAACCCCGGCCCGCCGUUGAAACUGGCAGG